Molecule: long non-coding RNA, 601 nt
Filed under: Homo sapiens (human)
Lineage: Eukaryota; Metazoa; Chordata; Mammalia; Primates; Hominidae
Description: novel transcript
Source: RNAcentral
UAAAAGUUCUUUAAAUGAAUGGAAACGAAAACAUAAGGCUCUGAAUUUCAGAAAGGACUGGAAUGGGCAAAUAUAGGGGCACAUGUAAUAGACUUUUUAUGAGUUAUAUUUGGUUGAAGCAAAAUUUUAAUGUAAUAUGAUGUAGUAAAUAUAUGCCGCGGAAAUAUUUAAGACAUGCUUAAAAAGUGGGGAAGGGCCUUUUGGCUGGAACCAACCAUCUUCUGUUAAUUUGCCAAAAUGAUGAACGACAAAGAGAAAAGGGAGAGGCACCUGGUAUGUUCUCUAGGCCUUUUAGAAAACAUGGACUUGUUCUUUUGGCCACAUACCUGCAAAUCUAUAAGAAAGAUGAUAUUGGAGACAUCAAGGGAAUGGGUACUGUUCAGAAAGGAAGCCCCACAAGUGUUACCAUGGCAAAACUGCAAGAGUCUACGAUGUUACUCAGCAUGCUGUUGGCAUUGUAAACAAACAAGGUCAGGGCACGACUCUUGCCAAGAGAACUAAUGUGCGUGUUGAGCACAUUAAGCACUCUUAAGAGCCAAGAUAGCUUCCUGAAACAUGUGAAGGAAAAUGAUCAGAAAAAGAAGGAAGCCAAAGAGAAAUG